GCUUGUGCUACUCUGGCAGUAGGACUGAAGAUCACUGAAGUUAUGGUCCCUUCACCCUUCCACACUGAAAGGCUUCUCUCCAGUGCCAGCACAGACUAGAUAUGAAGAACAGCUCAAGAGACACAGCACUAUCUGAGACUAAGCUACAUAGCUUCCUGCCAAGCAGCUCAGAAACAUGGCCAUGAGGUUGUAAUGUCUUAUGGCUCUGAUGCCAUGCACGUUUAUGUAUCUUUGAUAUUAAAUGGGAUUUUCUAUCUCUGAAGUUUCAA
Long non-coding RNA from Strigops habroptila (Kakapo), 269 nucleotides. RefSeq lists it as uncharacterized. The record is from RefSeq and is a predicted model, not a curated record. Lineage: Eukaryota; Metazoa; Chordata; Aves; Psittaciformes; Psittacidae. The transcript has 2 exons.